This is a long non-coding RNA of Vicia villosa (hairy vetch), 1499 nucleotides long. RefSeq lists it as uncharacterized. The record is from RefSeq and is a predicted model, not a curated record. The transcript has 2 exons. NCBI's taxonomy places the organism in Eukaryota, Viridiplantae, Streptophyta, Magnoliopsida, Fabales, Fabaceae.
AUUCAGUAAUAAUAAACAAAGAAAUAUAGAUAGAGUGUUUAUGUGCCAAGAUAAUGCAAAGAGUUAGUUCCACAUCGGGUAGCUCCAAAAUAAAAAUAGAGAACAUCCUUAUAAAUAAACAUAUGUACUUCCAGCUUGGGACAGUUUGCUCGGAUUGGAAGUUAAAAUCCUGUUUUUGGCCUUACUUCAAAAUAGAACUUGCCAUUGCCAUUCCUCUCUGGUUAUGAUAACCCAAUUUAGUUUCUUUUACAAAAUAAAAAAGUGAUUCGCUAUUGGUACUUGUUACUGUCCGGUUAUGAUAACCCAAUUUAAUUCAUGCUGCCGAAGGACGCUUUCAGAGGCGAAAGGCCUUCCCACCCAAGUCAAAAACAGGCGUGGAUACAAAUUGGGAGAAAGAAAAAAAGUAGACAAUUUCCAAAUUGAACUUUUCUUUUGUUUCAUUCACUUCUUGAAAAUGGAAUGAUAUAAAUCCUUUCACCAUCUGCUCAAAUCAUUGUUACUUUCUCUUGCUCCAAAGGAGUUUUCAAUUUUAUGGCUGUUAUCUUUCUUGAAGUCUUUCUCAGAUUUGUUUACCUUGGUCCGACAACAACUGCUAUUUCUCAAAUCAUAGAUACCAUUCGUGAGUUCAUGUUCUCUGCUAGUGAUGUACUUGUGAAUAAGGAUAGUUUUGAGUAACUUGAAGCUUGUUUGGAAAGAAUCAUGCCAGUUUUGAAAGAAUUUAGGAAAGAAAAAGCGAGUGAGUCCAAGGCAUUCAACCGUGCUUUUUGUUGUGAAUUGCAAAACUAAAGAUGCAAAGCUACUUGCUCUAGAAUGUAGCAAAAAGAGCAAGUUUUAUCCGUUAAUGAAUUGCAGGUCCAUUGUGAAACGAUUAGAAAAUCACACAAAUGAAAACUUUUUCAUUAUAAAAAAUCUUUAGAGUACACCUCUUUGAUAAUUUUCUUAUAUUAUUUUUGUCUUGUUAAUAUCAUAACCAUGCACGAUACCAUGAACAAAGUUUCUUUAUGAGAGGAGAAGAGGGAGGUUGUGAUGGUUAAAGCAAAAAGAGGCGGCGGGAAUGACAGUGAGUUGGAAGAACAAGAAGAAGAAACCACUAUCUCAAUUCACCGAUCAUCCAUUUGAACAUGACAAUACACACCCCAAUGCAUUGAAGAUGGCUGUGAUGGAACAAGAGUGUGUUCUCCCAAUUCCGAAAAAUCAUCACAGUUAGUUAUUCAAUUUCAUGCUCAAGUUGAUAACCUUGCUAUGGUAUUAUUAUGUCUGUUUUGUACUAAUAUCAGAAUAUAUCUGUUGGUGCUUCUGAUAUUUGUUAUAGAAUUCAAACUGUUAGUAGUUUUUUAUUUGGAAUAUGAUAAUUGAAAGUCUAUAUAUGGAAAGAGCUACUGAAUUGAAGCCAUCACAGGCCGAGGUGACACUCGUCAUUUGCAUACCCUUUUACUGAUGAUAUUUAUAUGUAUACUUUUUAUACUUAUUGAAAUUCUAGUAUCUCUUGAUUGAAUCAA